CCUACGGGAGGCAGCAGUGGGGAAUAUUGGACAAUGGGGGGAACCCUGAUCCAGCGACGCCGCGUGAGUGAUGAGGUAUUUCGGUAUGUAAAGCUUUAUCAGCAGGGAAGAAAGAAAUGACGGUACCUGACUAAGAAGCCUCGGCUAACUACGUGCCAGCAGCCGCGGUAAUACGUAGGGGGCAAUCGUUAUCCGGAUUUACUGGGUGUAAAGGGAGCGUAGACGGCGAUGCAAGUCAGAAGUGAAAGGCGGGGGUCCAACCCCCGGACUGCUUUGGAAACUGUAUGGCUGGAGUGCAGGAGAGGUAGGUGGAAUGUAUGGUGUAGCGGUGAAAUGCGUAGAGAUUA
This 347-nucleotide ribosomal RNA is filed under the name uncultured bacterium. RNAcentral's name for it is "partial 16S ribosomal RNA". It matches the Rfam family "Bacterial small subunit ribosomal RNA", at positions 338 to 699 of the family's 1533-position model. The record is from RNAcentral.